CACGUAGGGCGCAAGCGUUGUCCGGAAUUAUUGGGCGUAAAGAGCUCGUAGGCGGUCUGUUACGUCUGCUGUGGAAACCCGGGGCUUAACCCUGGGCUUGCAGUGGAUACGGGCAGACUAGAGGCAGGUAGGGGAGAAUGGAAUUCCCGGUGUAGCGGUGAAAUGCGCAGAUAUCAGGAGGAACACCGGUGGCGAAGGCGGCUAUCUGGCCCAAUAUUGACGCUGAGAUGCGAAAGCGUGGGGAUCAAACAGG
RNAcentral lists this ribosomal RNA (253 nucleotides) under uncultured bacterium. RNAcentral describes it as "partial 16S ribosomal RNA". It matches the Rfam family "Bacterial small subunit ribosomal RNA", at positions 524 to 776 of the family's 1533-position model. The record is from RNAcentral.